GGGAGGCAGCAGUGGGGAAUUUUGCGCAAUGGGCGAAAGCCUGACGCAGCAACGCCGCGUGGGGGAUGAAGGCCUUCGGGUCGUAAACCUCUUUCAGCAGGGACGAAUCAAGACUGUACCUGCAGAAGAAGCCCCGGCUAAAUACGUGCCAGCAGCCGCGGUAAUACGUAUGGGGCAAGCGUUAUCCGGAUUCAUUGGGCGUAAAGAGCGCGUAGGCGGCUUGGUAAGUCAGAUGUGAAAACUGGGGGCUCAACCCGCAGCCUGCAUCUGAAACUUCCAGGCUUGAGUCUGGUAGAGGAAAGUGGAAUUCCUAGUGUAGCGGUGAAAUGCGCAGAUAUUAGGAGGAACACCAGUGGCGAAGGCGGCUUUCUGGGCCACGACUGACGCUGAGGCGCGAAAGCUAGGGGAGCAAACAGGAUUAGAUACCCCGGU
This 432-nucleotide ribosomal RNA is filed under the name uncultured bacterium. Its description in RNAcentral is "bacterial SSU rRNA". It matches the Rfam family "Bacterial small subunit ribosomal RNA", at positions 343 to 791 of the family's 1533-position model. The record is from RNAcentral.